AUGCAUGCUCUUCUUUAUCAUUUCCCCUAUUCCCUGGACAUUUUUCUUGUAGGUCCCAGAGACCACAUUGGAAGUAACUGCUAUCAAAGUGAGGUGUAUGCUGUUCUUCUUUUUCUGCAUAGAGGAAGGACAACACACUUGAAUAUUCAGUCUCAGGUUGGGAAUCAGGAAAUCAAAGAGACGUUCCCUUGUGAAGACGGAUGUAAUGAGCAAGGCAUUGUGCAUGAGUGAUUUCUGUUUUACAUCCUGAUUCAAGCUAAACAUUUAAAGAUGAAGCCCAGAGUUCAAAGACUGAAGGAUGGAAAAAUUAAUUGUGUGGAAGUAUAAGUAGUAUUACAUUUCAUAAAACUCAUGUUAUUAGGUUUCUCAGUAAAGAAAAAUAAAAAAGAUACCUCACAUAUCUCACAUUCGAUCAUUUAUGAACUGAAUCAGUAAGCAAUACUGACAAGACAAAAGUCACUUGCACCAAAAUGCUGUAUAAGCAAAGAAACGCAUGCAAUUUUGCAGUGUGUUCACAGCAUAUUUUGCCAGCAGAAAAGGGUCUCAGUCUUCUGGGUGAUUCACUUGCUGCAAUUUGGCUUCACUUCAGGGGUGAGGGUUUCAGAAUUACUCACAGCCAUGCUAACGAAUCGGAAGUCAUAUAACGAAACAUGUUGCAGCUUUGCCCCCUUUGAACCCACAGACGUUCUGAGCAGAUGACUUAAAAAUGAGACCUUGCCACUAUUUUUUUUUCCAGCUUGAUUCAAGUUUCAUGCCAGUUUUGCACUAGUCCUUACUUUAAACUUAUUUGUUUGCUCAUGGCUGAUAUGAACGAUGACUCAAUAAAACAAUCUCAGUGCUUCACUGUGAAGAGACAAGUGGGCUUUAAUUAUUGAUGAUACAGUGCUCUUAGUCACUACCCAAGCCUUGCCAGCAGCCACAGAGAUUUUUCAAUAAUACCUUAAAGCAGAGUGUUGGGGGCAUGGCCUGAAUGGGACACAGCAGAGCAAACCAGAGGGAAGCGUUUUCUCUAGGGCAGUGUUGCUCAAACUUCUAACAGGUGUAACUCCCUGACGCAUUUGGAUAAUGCUUUCAGACAUGUGGUCUGUGUUUUUUUUUUUUUUUUUUUUUUUUUUUUUUUUUUGUGUGUGUGUGUGUGUUUUUUUUUUUUUUUGGGGGUGGUCCUUUGAGGAACCAGGAGUUGAACUCGAUGAUCCUUGUGGGUCCCUUCCAACUCAGGAUAUUUUAUGAUUCCCAUUUAAGUCUACAGAUUCUUUUCCCUCCCUACCUUGACUUUCUACCUAAGGAAGAAGUAUGGUAAAUGAGAAGGACAUGCAUUUGUUGGUAGGAGAUGGGAAAUAGUGAUGAUCCUGUCCUGAACUGCCUGGCUGGUGUGAACACUUGCAGCUGGGAACUUCUCACUGCUUUGCUGCAGAGGAGUUUGGUUUUUGGCCAAACCCGAGUACUAGAAACACAUCUCCAAGAGAUCUUACUCUCAAGGGAACAUCAUCAUUGAGGUCAUCAUCGUUGCAGUGGGAGAAAACAGUGGAAAACCAUUACAUUCAAUUUGCUCUGACUGUACAGAAAUGCGUUCCUCAAUGUGCUUUUAGUUCAUCUUUUCCAUAUGUACUUAGCUAGUUCUGACUUUUACAGUCCUGAGACAACUACAGAGAGCCAAGUGGUACUACUUUUUUAUGACCUUGAGUGUUUUCAGUACAAGCUCAAUGCACAUUUGUUGUUAGAACUGCAUAUAUAUGUGUGGAAGCAUGCUGCCUUUCCUGAAACUAGACUCUAACACAAGAGAGCAGAAAAACAAAACAAAACAAAACAAAACAAAACAAAACAAAAAAGCCCUCAGGCAGUCUGUAUAUCUAAAACACUUAUGAAAGGAAAGAUUUUAGAGCUAAAUUCCAUUAAUUUUAAAGCCUCUGAAUGUGUUCUUUUUCCUUCCACAACUGUCAUUAAAAAGCUACUACUCAACCUGCAUGGAGAUGGAUAGUUUCCUAAGGGAGUAAAAUGUUUGCCCACCAAAUCCUCCAGCAGAAGCUGGAGAGGUCAAAGGAGAGACUGCCUACACUACUGGUAGGGAUCCUGUUGGCAUAGUUGCCUCAGUCUUGCAGGGCUGGGAGCUGUGGUAGAAAAUACCUGCUGGGAUCUAGUUCAGUGCAGAUGGGCUUGCAAGACAACUGUACCUGUGAAGUCCACACAAAGCUUCUCUGCCUCACCAAAUUCUGCUUCCAGGGGUAGAUGCUGAGCCCCGGGGCAUAUCACAUGAAGUCACCAGACUGGUGAUCGCAGCACAGAUGUCACAUCUUCAUUCUGCCUUCAUGGAUGGUGCCUCCUCAUUAGAUCUGGCUGGAGCUCUGCAGGCACCAAGGCGGUGUGAGGCUCAUUUUUGCUGUGGGUUGUUUUUCUCAGUAUUGCAGUCAUCUCUUUGUGGGUAUUGAGGAGGAUGAGCAGCUCUUGCAUGGGAAUGUAGUUUUCUCCUUGUCCCUCACAGGACCACUGGUGACAUCCUCUCAAGUCCUCAUGUUUUCUGAGAUGGGGAAGCUUGGCAUAUUUUUCUCCAGUUUUCAACUACAUGACCACCUUUGUUUGUUCCAUGGAGCCUCCUUAGCCAAACGAAUGUUUUUAUUAAUACUCAUCAGCAAAAAUAUAAACAGAUAAUGAUUUAUGUCCACAGGCUCUGUUCUGAUUAUUUGACCUUUAGUUUCUAUUGACAACAGCAAAGUAA
Molecule: long non-coding RNA, 2713 nt
Filed under: Anas platyrhynchos (mallard)
Lineage: Eukaryota; Metazoa; Chordata; Aves; Anseriformes; Anatidae
Description: lncRNA (ENSAPLG00020005138.1)
Source: RNAcentral